AUAUAAGUAAAAUUGAAUUUUUUGAUUCAUUCAAUUAGUGAUGUAUGUGGUCUAUAAUAUGAACCACAUACAUCAUUAAUUGAAUGAACCUAAAAAGUCAAUUUUACUUAUAU
Molecule: microRNA precursor, 113 nt
Organism: Medicago truncatula (barrel medic)
Lineage: Eukaryota; Viridiplantae; Streptophyta; Magnoliopsida; Fabales; Fabaceae
Rfam family: MIR2593 microRNA precursor family
Source: Rfam